This 403-nucleotide ribosomal RNA is filed under the name bacterium. RNAcentral describes it as "partial 16S ribosomal RNA". It matches the Rfam family "Bacterial small subunit ribosomal RNA", at positions 355 to 776 of the family's 1533-position model. The record is from RNAcentral. RNAcentral also lists the same sequence under 2 other names.
UGGGGAAUAUUGCACAAUGGAGGGAACUCUGAUGCAGCGACGCCGCGUGAACGAAGAAGGCUUUCGAGUCGUAAAGUUCUUUUAUAUGGGAAGAUAAUGACGGUACCAUAAGAAAAAGCCCCGGCUAACUACGUGCCAGCAGCCGCGGUAAUACGUAGGGGGCUAGCGUUGUCCGGAAUCACUGGGCGUAAAGGGUUCGCAGGCGGAAAUGCAAGUCAGGUGUAAAAGGCAGUAGCUUAACUACUGUAAGCAUUUGAAACUGCAUAUCUUGAGAAGAGUAGAGGUAAGUGGAAUUUUUAGUGUAGCGGUGAAAUGCGUAGAUAUUAAAAAGAAUACCGGUGGCGAAGGCGACUUACUGGGCUCAUUCUGACGCUGAGGAACGAAAGCGUGGAUAGCAAACAGG